Dromaius novaehollandiae (emu) is the source of this 4207-nucleotide long non-coding RNA. RefSeq lists it as uncharacterized. Lineage: Eukaryota; Metazoa; Chordata; Aves; Casuariiformes; Dromaiidae. The transcript is spliced from 4 exons. The record is from RefSeq and is a predicted model, not a curated record.
UUCCCGCCCCCUUCCGGAAGGAGCAACAGGGAGAGGAGCAGCUCCUGCACCUUGACCCGUCUGGACGGGGCGCCAAGUUGCGUCCCCGCGGUGCCCCCCUCUCUCCAAGGGCGCCAGGGGCCGCCGGGCCAGGGGGACCUCCGUGCGCCCGGGGGCCACCGUGCCUGGAGCUGGUGCCUCCCGCUGCCUCGAUACCCGCCGAGCGCCGGCAGCCCCUCUCUCCCCCCUUCCACGCCGCCUGGCCGACGUUAGCUGUGCGAAGGGUUUGGGGGCAAUAGAACGGGGGGGAAAAACCCCAAAAUCGAUUUUUGCCUCCGAUAGGUUCCCAGGGCAGAGCCGGCGAGCUGCUCGGCGGAGCCGCGGCGAGGGACCGGCAGCUGCGAGCGACCGCAAGCCCCGGCGAGGACGCGCGAGAUUCGCUCCCAGGCGAGGAGAGAAAACCUAUGGCAGACUCUAAAAAAACUCUGUUUUUAAUCUGAUGCUUACAAACCUGUGAAAUCUGCGCGCGAAAGUCUCGUAGAGGAGUAUGAAGACGAAACGUGCUCACUUAUCGCCCCAGAGGCAGACUAUCUAGCUGACAAGCUGUGCAGUGAAAAAUCAGGUGCCUGCGAAGAAUUUGCUCCUUGCACAGAGUUAGAGAAGAGAUCAGCUACUCCUUUUACAGAGCGAAGUAAGAUGACAACACCAUUUUUUUCUUGAGAUAUCAAGUAUCGAUUGCUUUCUUUUCUUGCCACUGUAGUGCCUCCUGUAUUUUUUACUUUAAAUGUCCACACAUUCCUUAUUCUUUCAUUUUAGGUGGCUUUCUAUUAAAGCAUUUUAAAUUGAAAUAUGCUGAGUUUUUGCAAGAACAUUAAGUUUAGUAGGGAUUUGGCUAGUGGCCUUAUUUCUUGUGUUUAAAUUUUUUUGUACUCCAAGGUAUUCCUCUCAAUUGUGCUGUUUUUCACAAAAAUAAAAGAAUUUUAAAGAAUGUAAAAGAAUUAGAGUAUGUAAAAAUUGAGAUUUCCGCUUAAACAGAAAAUGAUAACUAAUACGAUUGCAAUAAACUCGUUACUUUUUCAUUUUUCAUUACUCCUUUGUUUUAACAGAUAAUCAAUUUGUUUGUAUUUCUGUACUAGAAAAGAGUUUAGAGUGCUGCUCAGUUUAUAUUCCUGCUCUUGAGAUGUUGAUGGGAAACUUCCCAAAUAUUUAUUCUUCUAAAGGUGAAAUAACUUACUGAAAUGCGUGUAGUUUCCUUAAAACAAACCAUUCCUUAAAAUUUCCAUAUCAAAGCACUACUGAUCCCGGUGUGAAUGUUCAUAGACCCUGCAAGCAUGAUUGCUGUAUUAACUUAAAAUUAAAGUUUCCUUGAUGGAAAAAUGUCAAAAAACAUCAAAAUAUUCCAGAUAGGUCAUAUGCCUUUCAUUACUGUUUUUUGAUACAAAAAUAUUUACUAAUCAGUGCAAAACAUUUGUCUAUAAAUCUCAAUACUUUGCAAUAUAAUUUUCUUAUAAUCAAUAUCAGCCUUUGGAUAUAUUAAUAAUCUAGCUACCGAUAACUUUCUCAGUAAAAAUCUUUGCUUAAAAUAAUACUUCUUUGCUUAUUAGAAAUAUGUAAGUAUAUUCUGCACUCGUUCCACACGUAGGGUGCCCAGAGCUGUAAUUGCAGGUCAGGGUGCUGGUGUUUGCCCCAAAUGAUGAAGUGUGAGAAUAUGGGCUUCAGGCUCAGAUAUCCUAUGAAAAUGCUGUCUAAAGAGGCUUGAAUUACUGAACUGUGGUUUUAAGGCAAUGAGGAUAGUUCAUUCAAAACAGUACAAAGGUCCCGUAAAAUGUUUAGCGGAAAAGUAAGCUUUAUAACUGAAAAAAAUUCUAAAAAUAUGUAUGUCACCUUUAGUGUAGUUCUAGUAACGACUGGAGAAUGUAAAAUGCUGAAAGGUACUGUGGAAAAAAAACCAUAAUGAUUAAAAAUCUCUUAGUGUAUCUAAGUUUUUUUAAGUUUAUUUACAGAUUUUUUUUCAGUAUUUGUAGAACUAAGUAUUUAGAGGAUAACACAGCCCAUCCCUCGGUCAGUGUAAAUUGUAUCUUCACAGAAGCCGUUCGAGCAACACUGAUUUACAGCAGUGUAACACCUGGUUCCAGAAAUUUGUUACACAAGGAUUUGCUGCCUGAUUGCAUGUUUCUAAAGGUGCUCUAAGUUUUCUCUCAGUGUGGUGCAUCUCCUGCCAUUCCUCACUCACAGUUCAGUUUUGCAGACCACUUCGGCAAAAGUUGCAGGUUGGGUACCAUGGGGCAGCUGCACUGUUUAAAAUGGAAAUACCUGCAGAAUUUAAGGAAGACUUUCUUCACACUUAACCCAGUUCGACAUCAUCUUUCAUGCAUAUGUAAGCAUUCAUUUUUAAAGUAACUUUCAAAUCUUUGAGCUAUCUUUCUGCUUCGUUCUUCAGGGUGGGUUCAGAAUGACCAGCUUUUGCUGAGGUGGGAUCUUCGAUGUGGAGAUUAAAACGGGUUGCGCCCUCACCCCAUGUGCAGGACAUAAAGCCUGACCAGUUAUGCCUUCAGCUGGCUUCAACAGGAAAAUGUUUCUUAUCCAGGCUCAAAUUUUCCUCUCUUUGUUGUUCAAUGCGGGAGACUCAUGAAAGCAACAAAGAAAAUUGAUUAUCGAGGAGAACAGCGCAGUGCGAGGCACCAUCCAUUAUCGAAAGACCAAAAUAAACAAAGCAGGGUAGAAAUACCGGAUCCGUUUUUUUUUGGAGAGGGGGGGUCUUUUUUGUUUCAGAGGGAACUUUUACAAUGUCUGUAACAGCGACUGCUGUAUUAUUUCAGGCAGGUGGAUAUGCACUCCGCAUUGCUCACGAUUUUGAUAUAAAAGAGAACGUGACUACCUGGCCGGGUGGUUUCACUGAGCAUCCACUCCUCUAGUGCCGUGCUCAACGCGUGCACUCGGCCACCGAGGUUAACGCGGUUUAUGCUGAGGAAAUACUGCUAGGCAGCGGUAUUGGUGUACGGCCCUUCGAUACACAUGUCUUUAUUAAAACAACAGUGUGCACAUUUACAUUCUGUCUUUGAAUUUCGCAGUGAUAAACUACCGGAGGAUUUUUGUAUGGCAUCAUGUUGUAUUUACACAUUGAGGAUAAGAUACGGGCCGGAUUCAUCACUGUGUCAUCCCGGCCCUACACUAGUGUAACUCGGGUGCAACUGGAGCAAUGCUGUAGUGGACCACAUCUGAUACUUACUGUGACCAGCCUGCAAAGGACUUUGGGGUAAAUAUUCAGAUUGUUUUAAUAUCGCAUUAUUGAAGCAGAUAUCGAGAAGCAAACUUUAAAUUUGCGAGGCCCUGUGUGAAGCACGCUGAAGUAGGGCUCAGUAAGAAAUGCUGUGUCUAAAAAAGGAUUCAUGCAUUUUAUCUUCUGUGAAUUAGCAGAUUAGGUAAACGAUACGAUGAAGAAUGGCCUGCUUGGGAUCCCGUAUAUCUAGAUAUUUACAUUGCUGUCAUAUCUCAGUGACUAGUGAAAUACUAUUGCUUCACUGCUAAUAAAAAGUAAUCCACUGUAAUAACUGGACAUAGACAGCUUGCCAUCCAGUGCUGUUAUCCUCACUCUCCCCCAACAGAUGAGCAUCUCAAAACCUAUGGAAAAUAGGAGAAAUAUGUCCUGACUACAGACUCUAUUCUCCCUUAUUUAUCUCAACCUACUGUGAUGAAAUCAGAGAGUUACAGACAUGUAUCCAAAGGCAUAAUCAAGCCUUUUAUCACUGCAACAGAAACAUAAAGGUUGUUUGUAAGAAUGGAGGACCAGAUCCUUGCCCAGAGCAAACAGCUUCAGUCGACUGACUUGGAUAGUAGAGCUGUUGCAUCUAAAUUCGGCAGGCUGUGCGUCCCUGGUUUGAGAUGACUAUUAAAAUUACACAUUUAGUUUGGAAUGGUUUAUUUUGCUUUCCAUGCCAAAUAUGCCAGGAAAAGACAACAUUUCUGGUGACAGAUUUUAUUUCAAAUGUGGCUUACUCAGAAGGAGUGGAGGCCACUAAAUUCAUUUCAUUUAGGAACGGAAAGCAGAUGAAGCGAGAUCCUGACUGGGAAAGAUCAAUGCUUUGUUUACUAAGAUAAGCCCUAAAAACAAGGUCGUUCGCUAACAAGUCAUAUUUUCUAUUCAUAUUUGUCUCUGUGGUCUGACAUUUGCUCAUACGUGUGAUAGCUUCAUCAAAAUACAGUUUCUAGAAAAUGCAUUUUACUAGUC